RNAcentral lists this small RNA (18 nucleotides) under Arabidopsis thaliana (thale cress). RNAcentral describes it as "ATSL240110". Lineage: Eukaryota; Viridiplantae; Streptophyta; Magnoliopsida; Brassicales; Brassicaceae. The record is from RNAcentral.
AAAUAAAUAAAUAAAAUA